GCGGGGUGACCCGGGGAAGGGGCGCGCACAGAGACAGAGGGAGCCAGCCGGGCCCCACGGUGUCCUCGGACGCCUCCGAAAUCUCCCUGCGUGUUUGUUUCUUCGGAGCUUCACCGGAGCCUGACUCUGGAACCGGCCUGUCUGCCUGCUGCAGUCUGCACAUCUUCACAAUGAAAUCUUCACAAGCUCAGAACCAUCAACUUGCUACACUGUGUUCCUCCAGUGCCCAGUUCACAGGAAGCACUCAAGAGUAGGAUCAAUUGUUAUCAACCUCUAGCAGAUUAUUGAAUAGACGGUCGUUACAUGAAACUGACACUCAGUUCUUCAUGGUCCACGAUAGUUCUUAUAUCCAGAAAACGUACUUACGUUAUCAACUCUGACUCCAUAAGACAACUUUGCAAAGUCUUGGCUCAUAACUAUUAGUGAAAUGGUGAAAAAUCAGACAAUGGUCACAGAGUUCCUCCUACUGGGAUUUCUCCUGGGCCCAAGGAUUCAGAUGCUCCUCUUUGGGCUCUUCUCCCUGUUCUAUGUCUUCACCCUGCUGGGGAAUGGGACCAUCCUGGGGCUCAUCUCACUGGACUCCAGACUCCACACCCCCAUGUACUUCUUCCUCUCACACCUGGCCGUCGUCAACAUCGCCUAUGCCUGCAACACAGUGCCCCAGAUGCUGGUGAACCUCCUGCAUCCAGCCAAGCCCAUCUCCUUUGCUGGCUGCAUGACAUAGACCUUUCUCUUUUUGAGUUUUGCACAUACUGAAUGCCUCCUGU
RNAcentral lists this long non-coding RNA (767 nucleotides) under Homo sapiens (human). RNAcentral describes it as "OR2A1 antisense RNA 1". The record is from RNAcentral. Lineage: Eukaryota; Metazoa; Chordata; Mammalia; Primates; Hominidae.